CAACCUCCCACCCGUGUUUAUUUUACCUUGUUGCUUCGGCGGGCCCGCCUUAACUGGCCGCCGGGGGGCUUACGCCCCCGGGCCCGCGCCCGCCGAAGACACCCUCGAACUCUGUCUGAAGAUUGUAGUCUGAGUGAAAAUAUAAAUUAUUUAAAACUUUCAACAACGGAUCUCUUGGUUCCGGCAUCGAUGAAGAACGCAGCGAAAUGCGAUACGUAAUGUGAAUUGCAAAUUCAGUGAAUCAUCGAGUCUUUGAACGCACAUUGCGCCCCCUGGUAUUCCGGGGGGCAUGCCUGUCCGAGCGUCAUUGCUGCCCUCAAGCACGGCUUGUGUGUUGGGCCCCGUCCUCCGAUCCCGGGGGACGGGCCCGAAAGGCAGCGGCGGCACCGCGUCCGGUCCUCGAGCGUAUGGGGCUUUGUCACCCGCUCUGUAGGCCCGGCCGGCGCUUGCCGAUCAACCCAAAUUUUUAUCCAGGUUGACCUCGGAUCAGGUAGGGAUACCCGCUGAACUUAAGCAUAUCAA
Molecule: ribosomal RNA, 522 nt
Filed under: Penicillium chrysogenum
Lineage: Eukaryota; Fungi; Ascomycota; Eurotiomycetes; Eurotiales; Aspergillaceae
Description: eukaryotic LSU rRNA
Rfam family: 5.8S ribosomal RNA (bases 155-307)
Source: RNAcentral